UGCAAGUCGAGGGGCAGCACGAUCUUCGGAUUGGUGGCGACCGGCGGCACGGGUGCGUAACGCGUAUAGAACCUACCUUUUACAGAGGGAUAGCCCAGAGAAAUUUGGAUUAAUACCUCAUAGUAUUAUAGAUUGGCAUCGAUUUAUAAUUAAACUAUUUAGUGGGUAAGAGAUGGCUAUGCGUCCUAUUAGUUAGUUGGUAAGGUAACGGCUUACCAAGACAGCGAGUAGGUACGGGGUCCUGAGGACGGGACGACCCCCACACUGGUACUGAGACACGGACCAGACUCC
Molecule: ribosomal RNA, 291 nt
Filed under: unidentified marine bacterioplankton
Lineage: Bacteria
Description: partial 16S ribosomal RNA
Rfam family: Bacterial small subunit ribosomal RNA
Source: RNAcentral